AUUGAACGCUGGCGGCAUGCCUAACACAUGCAAGUCGAACGGCAGCGCAGGCUGCGGUUGCGCGUCCGGUGGCGGAGGGGUGGACGAUGCAGGAGAACGUGGCCAGCAACUGGGUCUAGGGCGGUGACGGCGGGAAUAAUACCCUAACAGCCCAUACGACGAACGGGGGAAAGCGAGAGACCUUGGGACCUUGCGCGGGCCGAUGAGCCGAUGUCGGAUUAGUUGGUUGGCGGGGUAAAGGCGCACCAAGGCGACGCUCCGUAGCUGGUCCGAGAGGACGAUCAGCCACACUGGAACUGAGACACGGUCCAGACUCCUACGGGAGGCAGCAGUGGGGAAUUUUGGACAAUGGGGGCAAGCCUGAUCCAGCCAUGCCGCGUGCGUGAAGAAGGCCUUCGGGUUGUAAAGCGCUUUUGUUCGGAAAGAAAAGCACUGGGCUAAUACCCCGCGGGUAUGACGGUACCGGAAGAAUAAGCACCGGCUAACUUCGUG
RNAcentral lists this ribosomal RNA (492 nucleotides) under uncultured bacterium. Its description in RNAcentral is "partial 16S ribosomal RNA". It matches the Rfam family "Bacterial small subunit ribosomal RNA", at positions 29 to 507 of the family's 1533-position model. The record is from RNAcentral.